Myodes glareolus (Bank vole) is the source of this 1626-nucleotide non-coding RNA. The record is from RefSeq and is a predicted model, not a curated record. Lineage: Eukaryota; Metazoa; Chordata; Mammalia; Rodentia; Cricetidae.
AUGGGCAGGUCCAGGAAACUUGCCGUGCUGGCAGACUUAGUAGACGGCUAGGAGAAAGGAAUAGCGCAGCCACUUGGGUCUACCAGCGUGCAAAAGACUCAUGGAGCUGAUCUUCGUGAGUUACAGGGUUUGGACCCUCGACUUCCUCAUCUACACCACCUGUGUAGCAUCAAGUGAUGGAGACUUCGUGAGCACAGAGACCUUGGGAAGUAUUUCCUGAAGUCUUGAUAUGCUAAAGGGCUAGAUGCUAAGCUCUGAAGAAAGGGGCAUAUAUAAAAAAGAGUUUGAUCUGCCUAGAAAGAAGUACGGCGAAGGACCUGGAGGCCAUGCCUGUCUCGCAGAGGAAGACUGCUGUGAUUGAUAGUGGCAAGUCCCAGGAUUCAUCUACUAUGACUUCUCUGGGUGCACAAAUUUGGUUCCUGUUCCCCACUCAUGCAGAGGGCUGUACAUCUGUAACUCUAGUUUUUGUCAAGUGGAAAAAGAGUCAAUCAACAAGAACCAAGAACCUAAGACAAAUUAUAUGCAAAGUUGGGCUCUGGAAUUCAGAAUUCUGUCUUCACACCAAGAUAGGCUUAAUUGGACUGACUUACUAAGCACACCAGUUUCCUUGUGCAAACUGACAUAAAGGCCAGCUCCAAGAAUAGGAGACAUCACAGCAUCCCACGGAGGGCACAAGCUGGACCAACUCACACCAAAGAAAAGAAGGUGACUUUCAUAAACAGACAAAAAUACAAACAAAUAAUUAGUCAACCAACAAACUUCAUGUGUAUUAGUCCUGACACAGAAACAAAAGUGGAAUGAGAAAAUAAGACAGCGUGUCUCUCUUCCAAAAUAUACCAGCUCCAGCGUAAGAGCAAACAAUGCAAACAAAUGACCAUAAACACAUUUAGCGAGUACAAAGAACAAGGGAACGUAGUCAAGAAAGCACAAACAUCUGCAUGAAAUACAAACGUCAACUCAGGAUAUGAAAAUAGAAUUCAUAAAAGAGAUAGAAAUACCCAAGAAAAGUCAAUCUGAAGUGAUACUGGGAAUGAAAGGACCUAAUCAGUCAAAUGAAAAACUCAGGGGAAGCCUCAUCAAUAGGACAGAUCAUGUGGAUAACAGAAUACCAGGGUUUGGAAGAUGAAGUAGUGGAUCUGGAUCCCUAGCCAAGCAUGCUGCCUGGUGGAUUUUACUUCGAUAUGGUUUCUAGACAGUAAACCUGGGGCACUGGCAGUGUAACCUGCUUCAGGGAAAGAUCCAACCAUGUCAGCUUCCAGAGAAGAAUGUUUGCCUAUCCUUCUAGUCCAAGGCAAGAAAUCAUGUAGGAUGACGCCAGGAGAAAAGGUCAAGCCAUGCUGCUCUCAGAAUGCAGGAAGAACUGACCGGAACGCCUUGCAAUCUCACCAGCAUUGUCAAGCUAUCACUUUACUCGAACUGGUUUAGAAACUGGAGCCACUUUGUAAACACCCAUGGAAUUGAGGCAGCUUUGCACAAAAGACAGAGAUAUUAACCAGCAUGGUGUAUGAAGAGACUUUGAACCUCGUUGAAAAAAAAAACCUACUUGUUAUUGCCUCCAUCCAUGCAGCUCUCUUUUAUAUCAUCACGUCACAGGAAAUGUAAAAGUAAGACACAACAUACACUGAA